Paramisgurnus dabryanus is the source of this 1229-nucleotide long non-coding RNA. RefSeq lists it as uncharacterized. Lineage: Eukaryota; Metazoa; Chordata; Actinopteri; Cypriniformes; Cobitidae. The record is from RefSeq and is a predicted model, not a curated record.
CAGAAUGACAUUCACUCAAUCUGUUGCAAGCAAUGACUUUCAAACAGCAAGUGUUAAAGAGGCCAAACACGCGGAACACAAGUCCAACGCUGAAAAUUCUGGAAAAGAACAAUUGAAAAAAGAUACAGCCUUUAAACAUCUAAACAUGUCCUCCAAAAAGGAAAAAGGGAAAAACACUGGAAAACAAUUUCAGCCUAAGGUUUGAGAUGGCUAACUGUGUACAUUGCCUUUGUGUACUGCAAGCUGAACUUACAGAUUUAUAUGGACUUUACUUACAGGUUUCCUGUGCUGUUUUGCUCCAUUUUACAGAACAAAAUAAGGCUGAGGUAGCACCAUCCUUGUGGUUAGAGUGAAAGAAUGUGGGUAUUGAGACCAAAAUAAAUAAUGUGCCAUUCUGGACAAACAGCUGUGGACAAUACAAGCAGUCAGAGUAGCCCAUUUUCUCACACAGAUGAGGAGCAACCAGUAAGAAAAAGCAAAAAGAUGUUUUGAUGUUGCCUGAGGCACCUUAUUCACAUCAGUCAAUUUCUUCCAAUAAUGAAUCAAGAAAUCCUGGAGUGGAGAAUCAUUCUGAAAGUAGACCAAAUACAGGACAACACCACAGCAGUGGUUGGAAAAAUGCAGCAGACAAUGAGCAAACCAAGCUGACUUUCAAAAGAUGAUUCGUUAUCUGUUUCUUCAAAGGGGAGGCAGUUUGGGAGAUGGGAAAUAGGAGGAUGCUUCAGCUACACAGGGCGAAUUUCAGCAGCUCAGUUUCACACUUGCAACUAACAAUGAAUUAUAGUUAGAAGACAACGGAAAUAUUUGACAUGGGAGUCCAGCAGACAGCCAGAGAAACGCACACACACGGAGCUGAAGCGCGUUUGACUGACGCGUACGGGAGAUCAGGCACGCGCACGGGAGCUCGCUCGCGCACGCACACACAAACACGGAGCACAGGAAAAUUACACCUGUUCAAUUAAAAUAAAAGAACUUUGUGGUAAACAAUGUUUAGCGUGUCUGAUUUCAUUGGUUGUAAUGAAAUAAAACGAUGUGCUGAGGACUUUAGGCGAACGUCCCCUAAAAGUCCCGAAAGUCCGCUGACCGUCCUGCAAACGUCCUUGUGAAAGUCCGGAGGACGUCUUCGCGGACGUCCGCUCGACGUAACAGGGGACCCUACACGAUAACGUCCAGGGGACGUUCGCAGAGGACAUUUAGGGGACGUCCAGGGGACCUUUUUUUGUUAGCUG